This is a non-coding RNA of Didymosphaeria variabile, 94 nucleotides long. NCBI's taxonomy places the organism in Eukaryota, Fungi, Ascomycota, Dothideomycetes, Pleosporales, Didymosphaeriaceae. The record is from the annotation of a RefSeq genome assembly.
ACUAACAUUCUAGCAGUGGUCUAAGGCGGUAGAUUUAAGAUUGCUCAAAUCUCUACUGGGGAAACCCGCGUGCGUUCGAACCGCACAGAUAGCA